Molecule: ribosomal RNA, 484 nt
Filed under: uncultured bacterium
Lineage: Bacteria
Description: partial 16S ribosomal RNA
Rfam family: Bacterial small subunit ribosomal RNA
Source: RNAcentral
AUUGAACGCUGGCGGCAUGCUUUACACAUGCAAGUCGAACGGCAGCGCGGGCUUCGGCCUGGCGGCGAGUGGCGAACGGGUGAGUAAUGCAGCGGAACGUGCCCAGCAGUGGGGGAUAGCCCGGCGAAAGCCGGAUUAAUACAGCAUACGACCUGAGGGUGAAAGCGGGGGACCGAAAGGCCUCGCGCUGUUGGAACAGCCGAUGUCGGUUUAGCUAGUCGGUGUGGUAAACGCUUACCAAGGCGACGAUCCGUAGCCGGUCUGAGAGCACGACCAGCCAGACGGUGAGUGAGACACGGCCGCGACUCCUAGGGGAGGCAGCAGUGCGGAAUCUUGGACGAUGCGGGCAACCCUGAUACAGCACUGCCGCGUGCGGGAAGAAGGCCUUCGGGUUGGAGACUGCUUUUGUUCGGGAAGAAGUCCUCUUGGAUAAUCACCCGGGGGGAUGACGGUACCGGAAGAAUAAGCCCCGGCUAACUACGUG